GAUGAACGCUGGCGGCGUGCCUAAUACAUGCAAGUCGAGCGAACAGACGAGGAGCUUGCUCCUCUGACGUUAGCGGCGGACGGGUGAGUAACACGUGGAUAACCUACCUAUAAGACUGGGAUAACUUCGGGAAACCGGAGCUAAUACCGGAUAAUAUAUUGAACCGCAUGGUUCAAUAGUGAAAGACGGUUUUGCUGUCACUUAUAGAUGGAUCCGCGCCGCAUUAGCUAGUUGGUAAGGUAACGGCUUACCAAGGCGACGAUGCGUAGCCGACCUGAGAGGGUGAUCGGCCACACUGGAACUGAGACACGGUCCAGACUCCUACGGGAGGCAGCAGUAGGGAAUCUUCCGCAAUGGGCGAAAGCCUGACGGAGCAACGCCCGUGAGUGAUGAAGGUCUUCGGAUCGUAAAACUCUGUUAUUAGGGAAGAACAAAUGUGUAAGUAACUAUGCACGUCUUGACGGUACCUAAUCAGAAAGCCACGGCUAACUACGUG
RNAcentral lists this ribosomal RNA (496 nucleotides) under uncultured bacterium. RNAcentral describes it as "partial 16S ribosomal RNA". It matches the Rfam family "Bacterial small subunit ribosomal RNA", at positions 28 to 507 of the family's 1533-position model. The record is from RNAcentral.